AAUAGGUUUGGUCCCGGCCUUUCUAUUAACUUCUAGCAAGAUUACACAUGCAAGCAUCUCCGCCCCAGUGAAGACACCCUGCAAAUCAUUAUGAUUGAAAGGAGUAAGUAUCAAGCACGCUCAAUGCAGCUCAAGACACUUUGCUCAGCCACACCCCCACGGGAAACAGCAGUGACUAAUAUUUAGCAAUAAACGAAAGUUUAACUAAGCUAUGCUAUNAAUAGGGUUGGUCAAUUUCGUGCCAGCUACCGCGGCCAUACGAUUGACCCGAGCUAAUAGACAUCGGCGUAAAGAGUGUUUUAGAUGUACUUAACCAAAUAAAGCUGAACUAUUCCUAAACUGUAAAAUCCUAGCCAAUGUAAAACAAACUACGAAAGUGGCUUUAAAAAAUUCUGAAUACACUAUAGCUAAGACUCAAACUGGGAUUAGACACCCCACUAUGCUCAGCCCUAAACUUCAAUAGUUGAAAUAACAAAACUACUCGCCAGAACACUACAAGCAACAGCUUAAAACUCAAAGGACUUGGCGGUGCUUCAUAUCCCCCUAGAGGAGCCUGUUCCGUAACCGAUAAACCCCGAUUUACCCUACCAUCUCUCGCUCAGCCUAUAUACCGCCAUCUUCAGCAAACCUCAACAAGAGACGCAAAGUAAGCACAAACGCCCANNNNNCGCAAAAACGUUAGGUCAAGGUGUAGCCUAUGAGCUGGGAAAAAAUGGGCUACAUUUUCUACCUCAGAAAANUCUACGAUAACUCUUAUGAAAUCUAAGAGUCUAAGGAGGAUUUAGCAGUAAACUAAGAGUAGAGUGCUUAGUUGAACUAGGCCAUGAAGCACGCACACACCGCCCGUCGCUCUCCUCAAAUAUAUUUAAGAAAUAACUUAACUAAAUAAAACAAUAUUUAUAUAGAGGAGAUAAGUCGUAACAUGGUAAGUGUACUGGAAGGUGCACUUGGAUAAAU
Molecule: non-coding RNA, 957 nt
Filed under: Presbytis comata comata
Lineage: Eukaryota; Metazoa; Chordata; Mammalia; Primates; Cercopithecidae
Source: RNAcentral